UCAGUCGGCCGGGCAGCCGCGCCAGACCAAUGCCGAAAGGCGGCUGGUGAGGAAAGUCCGGGCUCCACGGAAACACGAUGCCGGAUAACGUCCGGCGAGGGUGACCUCAGGGAAAGUGCCACAGAAAGCAAACCGCCUGUGCGUUUGCGCGCAGGCAAGGGUGAAAGGGUGGGGUAAGAGCCCACCGCAUUGCCAGUAAUGGCAAUGGCAUGGUAAACCCCAUCGGGAGCAAGACCGAAUAGGGACAGCGCGUGAAGCUGAAAAGCUUGACAGGCCGGUUUCCAGGCCAGUUGUCCGGGUGGGUUGCAAGAGGCGGGUGGUAACAUCCGUCCCAGAUGAAUGGCUGCCGCGCAGGUUUUUCCUGCCAUACAGAACCCGGCUUACAGGCCGGCUGACACA
RNAcentral lists this RNase P RNA (399 nucleotides) under Candidatus Tokpelaia hoelldobleri. Its description in RNAcentral is "Candidatus Tokpelaia hoelldoblerii Bacterial RNase P class A". It matches the Rfam family "Bacterial RNase P class A". From Rfam's summary of the family: Ribonuclease P (RNase P) is a ubiquitous endoribonuclease, found in archaea, bacteria and eukarya as well as chloroplasts and mitochondria. Its best characterised activity is the generation of mature 5'-ends of tRNAs by cleaving the 5'-leader elements of precursor-tRNAs. Cellular RNase Ps are ribonucleoproteins. Lineage: Bacteria; Pseudomonadati; Pseudomonadota; Alphaproteobacteria; Hyphomicrobiales. The record is from Rfam by way of RNAcentral.